RNAcentral lists this ribosomal RNA (490 nucleotides) under uncultured bacterium. RNAcentral describes it as "partial 16S ribosomal RNA". It matches the Rfam family "Bacterial small subunit ribosomal RNA", at positions 30 to 507 of the family's 1533-position model. The record is from RNAcentral.
AUUGAACGCUAGCGGCAGGCCUAACACAUGCAAGUCGAACGGUAACAGGAAGAAGCUUGCUUCUUUGCUGACGAGUGGCGGACGGGUGAGUAAUGUCUGGGAAACUGCCUGAUGGAGGGGGAUAAAUACUGGAAACGGUAGCUAAUACCGCAUAACGUCGCAAGACCAAAGAGGGGGACAUUCGGGCCUCUUGCCAUCGGAUGUGCCCAGAUGGGAUUAGCUAGUGGGUGGGGUAACGGCUCACCUAGGCGACGAUCCCUAGCUGGUCUGAGAGGAUGACCAGCCACACUGGAACUGAGACACGGUCCAGACUCCUACGGGAGGCAGCAGUGGGGAAUAUUGCACAAUGGGCGCAAGCCUGAUGCAGCCAUGCCGCGUGUAUGAAGAAGGCCUUCGGGUUGUAAAGUACUUUCAUCGGGGAGGAAGGGAGGAAAGUUAAUACCUUUGCUCAUUGACGUUACCCGCAGAAGAAGCACCGGCUAACUCCGUG